AUGGAGGUCUUUGCCCCCACCCUGGCAGACCCGCCGACCUCUGCUCAUGGCAGCGAUCAGCCAGAGUCACUGGUGCAAACACUCUCCACCUCUCAGAUUCUGGCCAUGUUCCCCACACAACCACUAGGGGGCUCUCCAUACUCCUCCCCUCCAUACUCUCCUACCUCUGUGCCCUGGGGACAACAGGGACCUCUGGGAAACCAGUGGGCAGGUCCCUGGUCUGCCAUGCCUGGCAAUAUGUCAGCAUGGGCACCCCCAGGUGUCACAGUGCCCCCUGUUGGAAGCCUGGCUCAAUAUGUUGUGAACCCUCAGUCUGGGUUCAUGAUUGGAGCAACCACUGCAGCUGGAUUCCCUGCUGCACCCUCGUCUCCUACUGGGUACCCCACCACUCUAAACUUCUACCCCCUUACUGGAGCACCAGGGGCCCCUACAUUGGACCAGAAUCCACUGUGAUCGACUAGUCAGAUUGGAAAUACUGGAUGUGGACGUCAUUUAAGUAUGAGCAGUAUUAAUCUGCUAAAUCAGAUUAUUAAAAGAGGGUAAUAAGAAUCCAAGCAAGGAACAAAUGCAACAAUGCCAAACACAGCAAAACACAAAGUGUAGAGUCAAAGUGCUGGAUGAUUUUUUUUCUCUGCUUCUUUCUCUUUUGUUGUCCUGAGGAAAAACGGAAUACUCCGUUGGCUCACCUGCCUUGUCUAUCUAGUGGUUAAAAGUGGUAUUACACAGGGGUACUACUGAUGGCUAGCUGAUUAACACACCUGAAACUUGUAACUCUCAUUUAGAGCUUAAAAAAAUAAAAGGUUUACAACUUGUGACGUUUUAAAAUGAGAUUUAAUUGGUUUCUGCAAGUCAUUAUGGUUCUCUAAUUAGUACAAUUUAAUAAGAACAAUGUAGGUGACGUGUGUGCUUAUCUAAAUCAAGCAUAUCAGUUCUGUAAAGCCACUGAAUGUGUGAUUUGUGAUCAGGCUAAAUAAAGGGAUUUUCUCAACUUGAAAUAAAGUAUCUAACAUAUGG
Long non-coding RNA from Parambassis ranga (Indian glassy fish), 1014 nucleotides. NCBI's taxonomy places the organism in Eukaryota, Metazoa, Chordata, Actinopteri, Ambassidae. The record is from Ensembl.